Phaeosphaeriaceae sp. PMI808 is the source of this 103-nucleotide non-coding RNA. Lineage: Eukaryota; Fungi; Ascomycota; Dothideomycetes; Pleosporales; Phaeosphaeriaceae. The record is from the annotation of a GenBank genome assembly.
GGCACUUUGGCGGAGUGGUUAACGCGCUGGCCUGCUAACCAAUCGGAUGAUUGGAAGUUAGCCAGUUCCUUCGGGAGCGUGUGUUCGAAUCACACAGGUGUCG